Molecule: ribosomal RNA, 664 nt
Filed under: uncultured Actinomycetes bacterium
Lineage: Bacteria; Bacillati; Actinomycetota; Actinomycetes
Description: bacterial SSU rRNA
Rfam family: Bacterial small subunit ribosomal RNA
Source: RNAcentral
AGCGGAAAGGCCCUUCGGGGUACUCGNAGCGGCGAACGGGUGAGUAACACGUGAGUAAUCUGCCCUGCGCUCUGGGAUAGCCACCGGAAACGGUGAUUAAUACCGGAUAGGACCACUUCACGCAUGUGAUGGUGGUGGAAAGUUUUUUCGGCGCAGGAUGUGCUCGCGGCCUAUCAGCUUGUUGGUGAGGUAACGGCUCACCAGGGCUUUGACGGGUAACCGGCCUGAGAGGGUGACCGGUCACACUAGGACUGAGACACGGCCCAGACUCCUACGGGAGGCAGCAGUGGGGAAUAUUGGACAAUGGGCGGAAGCCUGAUCCAGCAACGCCGCGUGAGGGAUGACGGCCUUCGGGUUGUAAACCUCUUUCAGUACCGACGAAGCGCAAGUGACGGUAGGUACAGAAGAAGGACCGGCCAACUACGUGCCAGCAGCCGCGGUAAUACGUAGGGUCCGAGCGUUGUCCGGAAUUAUUGGGCGUAAAGGGCUCGUAGGCGGUUUGUCGCGUCGGGAGUGAAAACACCGGGCUUAACUCGGUGCUUGCUUUCGAUACGGGCAGACUAGAGGUAUGCAGGGGAGAAUGGAAUUCCUGGUGUAGCGGUGAAAUGCGCAGAUAUCAGGAGGACACCGGUGGCGAAGGCGGUUCUCUGGCAUUACCUGACGC